AACAUCUUUUCUUGAAUUUUAUUUGAGAUUUAACCUGCCCAAUGAUUUUUUUUAAUGGCCGCGGUAUUUUUGACCGUGCAAAGGUAGCAUAAUCAUUAGUCUAUUAAUUGUAGGCUUGUAUGAAUGGUUGGACGAAAUAUUAACUGUCUCAAUUUUAUUUAAUAAAAUUUAAAAUUUUAGUUAAAAUGCUUAAAUUUUAUUAUUGGACGAGAAGACCCUAUAGAUCUUUAUUUUUAAAUUUUAUUUAUAUUUUGGUUUUAUUUUUUAAUUAAAAUAUUAAAUUUUUUGUUGGGGUGACAUGAAGAUAUAAUUAACUCUUUAUUUUUUAAAUCAAUUAUUUUUGUAAAAUUGACCUUUUAUUAUUGUUAUAAGAUAUAGAUACCUUAGGGAUAACAGCGUUAUUUUUUCUGAGAGUUCCUAUCGACGAAUAAGAUUGCGACCUCGAUGUUGGAUUAAGAUUACAUUUAAUUAUAGUGAAGUUGCUUAAAUGGUAGGUCUGUUCGACCUUUAAAUUCUUACAUGAUCUA
This 527-nucleotide ribosomal RNA is filed under the name Hypocyrtus ornatissimus. RNAcentral's name for it is "partial 16S ribosomal RNA". It matches the Rfam family "Bacterial large subunit ribosomal RNA", at positions 1825 to 2607 of the family's 2925-position model. The record is from RNAcentral. Lineage: Eukaryota; Metazoa; Arthropoda; Insecta; Phasmatodea; Pseudophasmatidae.